UCAACACCGUAAAUAAUUAAGUACAUUCUUACAGAUAGAGGAAGUUAAAUGAAUGCAAUUAAACAAUCAAGGGUAUUUUGUGAAUCAAUGCUUGUUUACUCUGUUCUUAAAAGAAGGUAUAACUUGACCAUUUACUUGAAAAGGUUACAUGAUGGAAAUCAUAAAAAUGAUGCUUCUAGCGGCAAUAUUUCUAUUGAAUGCUCGAUCUGCCGAAGGCUUUGAAAUACGAUUGUUGCCAACAAACUCACAAGGCACAGAGGGUUU
Ruditapes philippinarum (Manila clam) is the source of this 264-nucleotide long non-coding RNA. RefSeq lists it as uncharacterized. The record is from RefSeq and is a predicted model, not a curated record. The transcript is spliced from 3 exons. Lineage: Eukaryota; Metazoa; Mollusca; Bivalvia; Venerida; Veneridae.